This 1236-nucleotide ribosomal RNA is filed under the name metagenome. RNAcentral describes it as "bacterial LSU rRNA". It matches the Rfam family "Bacterial large subunit ribosomal RNA", at positions 1563 to 2808 of the family's 2925-position model. The record is from RNAcentral.
UGAGCACGAAGAUGCUACGGCAUCGAAGCAGUCUAUGUCAUACUUCCAAGAAAAGCUUGCAAUGUCAUAAACAAAUAAUGCCUGUACCAUAACCGACACAGGUGGGUAGGUAGAGUAUACUAAGGGGCGCGAGAUAACUCUCUCUAAGGAACUCGGCAAAAUGACUCCGUAACUUCGGGAGAAGGAGUGCCUUAUUUUAUAAGGUUGCAAUAACAAGAUCCAAGCAACUGUUUACCAAAAACACAGGUCUCCGCUAAGUCGUAAGACGAUGUAUGGGGGCUGACGCCUGCCCAGUGCCAGAAGGUUAAAGAAGUUGGUUAGCAUUAGCGAAGCUGAUAACUGAAGCCCUGGUGAACGGCGGCCGUAACCAUAACGGUCCUAAGGUAGCGAAAUUCCUUGUCGGGUAAGUUCCGACCCGCACGAAAGGCGUAAUGAUUUGGAUACUGUCUCGGAGAGGGGCUCGGUGAAAUAGACUUGUCUGUGAAGAUGCGGACUACCUGCACCUGGACAGAAAGACCCUAUGAAGCUUUACUGUAACUUGAGAUUGAAAUUGGACUUUAUUUGCGCAGUAUAGGUGGGAGACCUUGAAAGUAUUCUUGCGGGAAUAUUGGAGUCAUCAGUGAGAUACCACUCUUAUAAUGUUAGAUUUCUAACUUUGGAUCAUUAUCUGGUCAAAGAACAGUUUCAGGCGGGCAGUUUGACUGGGGCGGUCGCCUCCCAAACGGUAACGGAGGCGCACAAAGGUUUCCUCUGAACGUGUAGAAAUCGUAUCUAGAGUGUAAAGGCAUAAGGAAGCUUGACUGUGAGACCUACAAGUCGAGCAGGGACGAAAGUCGGUCUUAGUGAUCUGACGGUGCUGAGUGGAAAGGCCGUCACUCAACGGAUAAAAGUUACUCUAGGAUAACAGGCUGAUCUCCCCCAAGAGUUCACAUCGACGGGGAGGUUUGGCACCUUGAUGUCGGCUCAUCGCAUCCUGGGGCGGUAGUACGUCCCAAGGGUUGGGCUGUUCGCCCAUGAAAGCGGUACGCGAGCUGGGUUCAGAACGUCGUGAGACAGUUCGGUCCAUAUCCGGUGUAGGCGUUAGAAUAUUGAGAGGAGCCUUCUUUAGUACGAGAGGACCGAGAAGGACAUACCUCUGGUGUACCAGUUAUCGUGCCAACGGUAAACGCUGGGUAGCUAUGUAUGGAGAGGAUAACCGCUGAAAGCAUCUAAGUGGGAAGCCCACCUCAAGAUAAG